Molecule: ribosomal RNA, 567 nt
Filed under: uncultured bacterium
Lineage: Bacteria
Description: bacterial SSU rRNA
Rfam family: Bacterial small subunit ribosomal RNA
Source: RNAcentral
GACGCGUGGGAACGUGCCCUUUUCUAAGGAAUAGCCACUGGAAACGGUGAGUAAUACCUUAUACGCCCUUCGGGGGAAAGAUUUAUCGGAGAAGGAUCGGCCCGCGUUAGAUUAGAUAGUUGGUGGGGUAACGGCCUACUAAGUCUACGAUCUAUAGCUGGUUUUAGAGGAUGAUCAGCAACACUGGGACUGAGACACGGCCCAGACUCCUACGGGAGGCAGCAGUGGGGAAUCUUGGACAAUGGGCGCAAGCCUGAUCCAGCCAUGCCGCGUGAGUGAUAAAGGCCCUAGGGUCGUAAAGCUCUUUCGCCAGAGAUGAUAAUGACAGUAUCUGGUAAAGAAACCCUGGCUAACUCCGUGCCAGCAGCCGCGGUAAUACGGAGGGGGUUCGCGUUGUUCGGAAUUACUGGGCGUAAAGCGCACGUAGGCGGAUCAGAAAGUAUGAGGUGAAAUCCCGGGGCUCAACCCUGGAACUGCCUUGUAAACUCCUGGUCUUGAGUUCGAGAGAGGUGAGUGGAAUUCCGAGUGUAGAGGUGAAAUUCGUAGAUAUUCGGAGGAACACCAGUG